Molecule: long non-coding RNA, 425 nt
Filed under: Mytilus galloprovincialis (Mediterranean mussel)
Lineage: Eukaryota; Metazoa; Mollusca; Bivalvia; Mytilida; Mytilidae
Source: RNAcentral
AAAGCGAACAUACUGAACAAACAAUUUCAGUUAUCUUUUACAUCUGAAGCAAAUACUGACAUUCCAGAUAAAGCCCGGUCCUAGUAUUCAUCCCAAAAUGACAACCAUAACAAUAUCUAUACCGGGAUGGUGUUUAUAAACUUAAAAAAAAACUAAAAAAAAACAACCUAAUAAAGCUACUGGUCCUGAUACUAUCGCAGGCAAAAUACUUAAACAAAACAUUAAGACAUGAAAUACAUCCUCACAUUAAUAUUCACCAAAUCAUUAAUAACAGACAAAGCCACGUAACCAUCUGACUGGACUGAACCACGCAUAUGUCCCACCUGUAUUCAAAAACAGGGGAUAAACAUAACCUAGGUAACUACAGACCUUUAUCCUUAACAAGCAUUACUUGCAAAUUACUUAAACAUAUCUUUGCAAGCAGC